AGUCGAACGUGAAAGCACUUCGGUGUGAGUAGAGUGGCGGACAGGUGAGUAACGCGUGGGAAUCUGCCCAGUAGUGGGGGACAACUACCGGAAACGGUAGCUAAUACCGCAUACGCCCUAUGGGGGAAAGGCUUCGGCCGCUAUUGGAUGAGCCCGCGUCAGAUUAGCUAGUUGGUAGGGUAAAGGCCUACCAAGGCAACGAUCUGUAGCUGGUCUGAGAGGACGAACAGCCACACUGGGACUGAGACACGGCCCAGACUCCUACGGGAGGCAGCAGUGGGGAAUAUUGGACAAUGGGCGAAAGCCUGAUCCAGCAAUGCCGCGUGUGUGAAGAAGGCCUGCGGGUUGUAAAGCACUUUCAGUUGGGAAGAUGAUGACGUUACCAACAGAAGAAGCACCGGCUAAAUCCGUGCCAGCAGCCGCGGUAAUACGGAUGGUGCGAGCGUUAAUCGGAAUUACUGGGCGUAAAGCGCGCGUAGGCGGCUAAGUCAGUCAGAAGUGAAAGCCCCGGGCUCAACCUGGGAAUUGCUUUUGAUACUGCUUGGCUAAAGUUUG
This 555-nucleotide ribosomal RNA is filed under the name uncultured Gammaproteobacteria bacterium. RNAcentral's name for it is "bacterial SSU rRNA". It matches the Rfam family "Bacterial small subunit ribosomal RNA", at positions 60 to 650 of the family's 1533-position model. Lineage: Bacteria; Pseudomonadati; Pseudomonadota; Gammaproteobacteria. The record is from RNAcentral.